RNAcentral lists this unclassified non-coding RNA (329 nucleotides) under soil metagenome. RNAcentral's name for it is "partial contains 5.8S ribosomal RNA, internal transcribed spacer 2, and large subunit ribosomal RNA". The stretch from base 1 to 120 matches the Rfam family "5.8S ribosomal RNA", at positions 35 to 154 of the family's 154-position model. The record is from RNAcentral.
GAUGAAGAACGCAGCGAAAUGCGAUAAGUAGUGUGAAUUGCAGAAUUCAGUGAAUCAUCGAAUCUUUGAACGCACAUUGCGCCCCUUGGUAUUCCGAGGGGCAUGCCUGUUCGAGCGUCAUUAUAACCCCUCAGCUUAGCUUGGUGUUGGGGCCUGCUGUAAUAGAGCAGCCCUUAAAAUCAGUGGCGGUGCCAUUAGGCUCUAAGCGUAGUAAUUCUUCUCGCUAUAGGGUUCUGGUGGAUGCUUGCCAUUAACCUCUAAUUUUCUAUGGUUGACCUCGGAUCAGGUAGGGAUACCCGCUGAACUUAAGCAUAUCAAUAAGCGGAGGA